UACGAAAGGGGCUAGCGUUGUUCGGAAUUACUGGGCGUAAAGCGCACGUAGGCGGCCUUGUAAGUUGGGGGUGAAAUCCCGGGGCUCAACUCCGGAACUGCCUUCAAGACUGCAAAGCUAGAGGACGCGAGAGGUUAGCGGAAUUCCGAGUGUAGAGGUGAAAUUCGUAGAUAUUCGGAAGAACACCAGUGGCGAAGGCGGCUAACUGGCGCGUUUCUGACGCUGAGGUGCGAAAGCAUGGGGAGCAAACAGG
Molecule: ribosomal RNA, 253 nt
Filed under: uncultured bacterium
Lineage: Bacteria
Description: partial 16S ribosomal RNA
Rfam family: Bacterial small subunit ribosomal RNA
Source: RNAcentral